AUCUGGAGGACGAGUCCUAAAUAGGACGAAAUGCGCAUCCUCGUGGAU
Molecule: non-coding RNA, 48 nt
Filed under: Trichobilharzia regenti
Lineage: Eukaryota; Metazoa; Platyhelminthes; Trematoda; Strigeidida; Schistosomatidae
Source: RNAcentral